This 23-nucleotide non-coding RNA is filed under the name Arabidopsis thaliana (thale cress). The record is from RNAcentral. Lineage: Eukaryota; Viridiplantae; Streptophyta; Magnoliopsida; Brassicales; Brassicaceae.
CAAAGUCUAUUCGUCCACCGCCU